This is a long non-coding RNA of Dermatophagoides farinae (American house dust mite), 1468 nucleotides long. RefSeq lists it as uncharacterized. The record is from RefSeq and is a predicted model, not a curated record. NCBI's taxonomy places the organism in Eukaryota, Metazoa, Arthropoda, Arachnida, Sarcoptiformes, Pyroglyphidae.
UCAUAAUUUUCACACAAGAAUAAUUUGCACAUAGAUAUGGGCUGAGCGAUUUUUAUUUUGUUAUUGUUGACAGUUGGCUUAGAAGAUAACAGAUUUUUUCGUUCAAAAAAAAAACUGAUGAAUCGAUUCUACCAAUAUAUUGUAAUGUACAAACUAUUAUGCAUAAUAAUCAAUGUGGAUUGCAGCUUUAUAUGUUGUCAAAAAAAAAUGUGAAACCUCACCGCCACCACCACCCAUGAAACCAAAAAAAAAAACCAAACUAAUCGCGCCUCUCAUUACCUAUCCAGGUAUUAUUAUGUGCAAAUAUAUUAUGACCAGAAGAAACAACACAGGAAAAUCAACGGCGAUCACGACAAAAAAUAUAAUGAUGAUGAUCAACCAAAUAAUGGCAGCAGGUAUUUGUAUCACAAUCCGGGGGUCUAUUUUAGAACCAAUUGAAACACGAAUAUCGAAAAUAGAAACCAAAGUCAAACAAGGGAAAAAAUCAGUCCGUCCGCCUGUACAAAAAAAACAGUGGAUUAAUAAUAAAAUGUGUCCACCAUCAUCACAUAUAAUAUAUGUCACGCAACAGUCUUUUUCUAAUUUCAAGCGGAGGGAAGGAUUCUGGAAAUGUUUUUCGGCGAAUUCUCUGUACAUUAACUUCCAACUUAUGAUCCAACAACCACACAUUCUCUUGUCAUAUAAUUCGCUAGUCGAUGCCACGCCAAUUUUUUUUUCGCUUGGUAAUAUUAACAACCAAACGAACAAAAUUCCAGCAUUUUAUUCAUUUUUUUCCUAUUCUGUUGUGGUGGGUGGCUAAUAGCCAUCAUAACAAAACAUUUCAACCAGAAAUUAUAGCCCGAAAAAAAUAUUUUAUAUUUCAGUUUGAAUCUAUCAUCGAACGUGAUCGGGCCAUUUUUCUCGGACUAUUCAAAUGGUACACACAUUGUGUGAUGGAUAAUUUUUAGUUUCGUAUUUAUAGUCUGACAAUAUGUAUGAAAUUAUAUUCAAAAAAAUGAUAAUGUUUUUUUUUAAUAGAAACAUUAAAAUCACCAUAACUAUAACUGAAUAACCAUUGUCAUAAUAAAAUUGUAUUUUGAACAAGAUUAUUGGUCAAAACAGAAAUUAUUGCCCCAAUGACAUGUUUUGCCUUGGUUACCACCAAUGUUUCGAAUGGGAUUUAUGUGUGAGAAAAAACAUCCAAAAUUGAACGGCCAAUUCAAAUGAAGUGAAAAAAAUGAAAAAUUCCUUAAAAAAUAACUUGGGCUGUUCGUAACAAAGCAUCUUUUUUUCCGUAUAACAAGCCACAGUGCACAAUUGUGUUCAAUUUUUAUUUCUCUUGUCGGUGUGUGUGUUUGUUUGCAUAAAAAUAAUCAGAAAAUAUUUUUUCUGUGCUUUGUUCGUUCGGCUCGAGUUACUUUGAAAAGGGAAAUGAGCAUCAAAUCAAUUUUAUGAUAAUUAAUAGUUGGUCAAUAAAAUAAUAAUGAAA